RNAcentral lists this long non-coding RNA (8170 nucleotides) under Equus caballus (horse). RNAcentral describes it as "lncRNA (ENSECAG00000039596.2)". The record is from RNAcentral. Lineage: Eukaryota; Metazoa; Chordata; Mammalia; Perissodactyla; Equidae.
UUUACAUAUAAUACAUAUACAUUUAAAUAUAUAUAUUUAUAUAUCAAUGAGGUCAUUUUUAUUUAAAACUUGUUAAAGGAAAGAGUUCCUCCUCUGACAGAAGAAUCUAUUUGUUCAACUCACUGUGUCUCUAUUUUAAACGUAUGUUCUAGAACAAUGACACAUCUCUUCCUUUUAGAGUAUUUAGUACAUCCACGAAUUUUCUGGUGCUUUUAAAAAACAAAAAAAAAUUACAAUGCAGCUUUCACAAAGAACACAAAUUUUAAGUGUUCAGACUAAUGGAAUUUUACAUAUGUAUCCAUCUAUGUGCUGUUAAGUAUACACACUUGAAGUAUGGGGUUUUUUUUCCAUACAUACAACUAUCCUUUUAUGAUGUCUGUUUUCAUUCUACUCUACAACUCUGUAAUUAAAAAAAAAGGCAGUCAUGAGGAGCAAGGGGUGGGAAUAAGGAGAAGAAGGGAAUGAAUAUUGACUGAGUGCUUCUUUGUGUCAGGUGUCCUAUUUGAAACCUCACACCUACUAUCUGGUUUAAUAAUUAGACAAACACAGUGGGGUCAGUCAUGUUAUCCUCCUUUUCUCCUUUUUUUUUUUUUUUUAAGUAAGAUUAGCCCUGAGCUAACAUCUGCUGCCAAUCCUCCUCUUUUUGCUGAGGAAGACUGGCCCUGAGCUAACAUCGUGCCCAUCUUCCUCUACUUUAUAUGUGGGAUGCCUACCAUAGCAUGGCUUGCCAAGUGGUGCCAUGUCUGCACCUGGGAUCCAAACCGGCAAACCCCGGGCCGCCAAAGCAGAAGGUGCACACUUAACCGCUGCGUCACCAGGCCAGCCCCUAUCCUCCUUUUAAAGAUGAAUAAAGUAGGUUGCAGAGCGGCUAAGUAAUUUGUCUGUGGUCAUACAGUUAGACAGAAUUUGAAAGUAGGUCUUUGAUAACAAAGCUUUACUCUUUGUCCUAGAUAGUUACCAGGAAGCCGUGAUGUAGUCUUUUAACUUGUGUCCCUGCUGCAGACAACUUCUGCUCUAUCUCACUGGACCCGUCUCAGGAGCCUUGUGAAUUGUGUCUCAAAAAUGCCUGCCUGGAAGACAAAAGAGGGAAGAGUAUAUUCAUUGGCUUCUGUUAUCUAUUAGUCAAGGGUGGUCCCACGGUAUUAAUCACCCUCUUACUUCUGGGUUGUAAUGUGUUAAUGCCAAGCAGGUUCCCCUAGGUGUACCGCAUAAGAGAAGACCUGGGACAGGAUGCAAGAGGUGUGUGAUGAGGGCGCAGGUAAGACACUAUCGGAUUACACCCAUGGACGCUGGACCAAGACGACAGGGAACUCAAUGGCACAGCAGCGGCUGCAGUGGGAGACGAGGCUGAGAGGAAGUGAAGUGGUGCGUGACAGGUAUCCAGUACGCAUGCUGAGAAUGUUUUGGUACUGCAGACCCAGAGCAGGAAACAGUUUUCUAAUAACAUGCCUCUUCUUGUAGCAGAGGUUUCAGCCUGAACCCAGGCCUAUUCUUCUGUUGGAGUUUAUGUCCAGGCAUGUUUGGCAAAUUCAUGGAGCUGACCUGAGGGAGAGUUCUUUGUUCUUUUCCUUUAGGAAGGGGAAAGGGAUUUUUUUUUGAAGAGGAAGUGAGGCUUUCUUUCUUGUUUAAAAAAAUUAUUUUAUUGAGCUCAUAAUGGUUUAUAACAUUGUAAAAUUUCAUUUGUACAUUACUAUUUGUCGAUCUCCAUUUAUAUGUGCCCCUUUACCCCUUCUGGCCCCAUCCUCUUUCCCUCUGGUAACCACUAAUCUGUUCUUUUGUCCAUGUGUUUGUUUUUCUUCCACAUACAAAUGAAAGCAUAUGGUUUUUGUCUUUCUCUGUCUGGCUUAUUUUGCUUAACGUCAUAUCCUCAAGGUCCACCCAUGCUGUUGCAAAUGGGACAAUUUUGUCUUUUUUAUGCCUGAGUAGUAUUCCAUUGUAUAUAUACACCACAUCUUCUUUAUCCAUUCAUCAGCCAGUGGGCACUGGAUUGCUUCCAUAUCUUGGCUAUUGUGAAUAAUGCUGCAAUGAACACAGGGGUGCAUAAAUCUCUUUGAGUUGUUGAUUUCAAGUUCUUUGGAUAAUUACCCACUAGUGGGAUAGCUGGGUCAUAUGGUAUUUCUAUUUUUAGUUUUUUGAGGAACCUCCAUACUGUUGUCCAUAGUGGCUGCACCAGUUUGCAUUCCCACCAGCAGUGUAUGAGAGUUCGGGGAAAGGGAUUUUUAUGUAUAAGACCCUAAAGAGAGAUAUGAGAGAGAUGGAGGGAGCCAGUUGGUAGCUACCCCAUGACAAGGUCUGAACUCUAUGGAAAAACGGGCCUGGGCAGAAAGGGUGGGAUCUGGUUUAUGAGGGAUUCAGUACCUUGAUACCCAGCAGUACAAGCUCUUUAAAGGCCUUUAUGGGAAAGUGCAAUGUAGUCGGGGAGUCGGACAUUCUUCCCGCUUCUGCAUGGUUCCACAGGGAAGAUCAAAUGUUUAUAAAGCAAUAAACAGAGUUUGGGUGCUUCCAAGAAUGCCAUUCCAUGUGGCCUGAUUACCCUGUAUAUUUAGAGAGUGAGGAAGUUAUUUUAGGGACGUUAGUAGCUGUCAACAUUAGGGAUUGGCCAGUGGGGGGGUGGGACUGAGUCUGAACCAGCCUCCAGAGACAGCACAGGGGUGGUCCAACCAGGAGGCAAUAGGAAGAAGGCUUGGCAGGGGGUCAGAGUUCAGUAUCCGGCUGGAGAUAGUCUACUACUGGUAGCUAUUCAAUGAAAGAGUGGACAUCGAGUCAUGGGAAUUUGGUACAGGGAUUAUACCAAGAGAGGAAAUAGUAACAUUCCAGGUAAAGAGGAAAGAGCAUACAGAGUAGGAAUCCAAGAUGUAGCUCAGGAAGGCACAGGGAGGAGCCAAAUAGAAUCCAGAAUGGAUGUAAUUAUAAGGUAAUGAGGGCUGAAUCCAGUUACUGGAAAGAACGAGCCUUGAGAGUAACUAGCCGAAGGCUGCAUUUAGUUCCUCUUCCUAGGACAUGUCUGGCAGCUCAGAGGGAGGUGAAGAGGCUGUUUACUAGCUAAACAGGCAGGUGGGUGGCAGGGGCAGCGAGUCAGGCAGGUCUUCACUGUUGAAUUACCAAUAAUCUCCGAGUGUCUGAAUCCACCAACAAGCAAGCAGGGCCCAAAUGGAGAAAGCCUGUUUGCAACAGCCCUUAUAAGAGACUUCUGUUGUUCUUGUCUGUCUAGCACCUCUUCUCCUUCUGCUGCCAACGGAACUACUUUUUAGUGGGGAACCCCCAACUUCCGAGAGUAGUGAGCGUGUGACCUGAGCCCAGUCAAUCAGAGUGCUCCAUUUCCUUGGUUUGAGGAUGGGCGGGAAACCUAGAAAGGCCAAUCAGAUUCUUCCUUGAGAUUUGAUAUUUCAGUGAGUAGUUGGGGGGAGCAGAGCUCUCUCUCAAUCUUGGGAUCACAAGCUGUAAAGACGAUGUAGACUGGAGUUGCUUUGUGUCACCCUUCCUGGAUGCAUGGGGAAAGCCAUCUGCAGUAAGAGAGAAUGAGCCCAAUAUUAAGAGAGAAUCAGAAAUGAAGAGGGAUGAGAGAUAGGGUCCUAAGGACAUUUCUUGGGCACUAAAUCCAGUCACAGCCAUCCCUGCUCUUUUGUGAGCCAAUAAGUUCUCUUUUACUUAAGCCAGUUUCAAGCCAAUUUCACUUGGGGUUCUGUCACUUGCCACGUAAGGAAAUCAGACUAAUAUGUUUGCUUACUUACUGGUUCGUAGCAAUACGUAUCCGUUGCCUCCAUCCACAGCGAGCCUGAAAUUUAUGUUUGGACUGAAAAUACUUGCUCAAGUCUGACCUCCAUUGCUCUUCAUGAGAACACACUGACCACCUGGGCGAGCCUACGGCCAGUGCCGCUGUCUGGCAAAAUCUCGGUGAGAUCAGAUCUGUGUCACUGCCCAGCCCUGCUUUUGACAUCUGCCUGUGCUUAUGAGCUCCCUGCUCCCUCUUUCCCCGUGAUCCUCUCCGACUGUGGAUAAAAUCCUCAGUCCUUUCCACUUUGACUCUUCCUUUUUGCCAGUAAGUUUCAAACCUACAACUCAAAUCCUGACCUUUCUCCUGAAACCAGAUACCUGUUUUUAAUUUCUAUUUCCAGGUUCAAUGAUCAGCUCACACUCAACAAGUCCGAAACAGAACUCAUCAGUCUCCUGGUACUGUUGAUGGCACUACCAUUGUGCCAGUCAUCUGCCCUUGACAAUCUCCACAUUAUUUGGGCUGCCCUUCUUUCCCUCAUCCUCCAUGUACACUGAGUCAUGGAGCAAAAUCCCUUUCCUUCAUAAUGUCUGCGUGUGCCAGAAGCUGCGUGAGCUUCUGAAGGUACAACAAAAAUCAAGAUGUGAUCCCUGACUUGAAGAGCUUGGAUCCUACCAGAGGAACAAUCCAAGGCAGAAAGUGCUGAGUGCCACAUCAGCGGCAGCAGAGAAAGGACUAAGGGAGCCUGGUAGAGACAGCUUCAUGUCUGCUAUUGGGGAUCAGGGAAGAGUCGUGGUAGAACAGCCACAGUGCAUCAUGAGAAAAGAGACCCAGGAGAGCAACUGACUGAAGUGCUCUUGGAAUGACGACUUCAGUUUGCUGGUGCAUUGGGUCAAAGCACCGGGGAAACAUGGUUGAGGACUGUAAUAGUGGUCAUGUUUUAUACUUCCUCUCUCUCUGUCUCUCUCGGUGCCCGGGCUGGAGAGAAGAACACAGUGGUUCCAUGCUCAGCAGAUGGGAGGUCGUCUAGCUUCCUAAGCCGGCACAAAGCAAUAAUAUUCCCGGGAAGAGAGACACUUGUUCUGAGGGCUCAAGUCAUCCUCUGGAGUCAUUGGCCAUUUCCUGCAGGCUGGGGAGGUGGUGACAGCCACGCAAAUGGUGGAGAUCAUCUUGAGUUUACCACUGGUCCAAGUCCAUGGAGUUGGGUUACUUGGAUAUGGGCACCCCCAUAUGUCUAACGCCUUCCAAGAUAUUAAGUGUCAUGUAAACGCAGCACUUCCCCUUCUGCCCAUGAGUGUCUGUUGUCACCUGUCAGAAGGCAAUGCCAUAGGCUGUUUAUUUGAUGUGGAGACAAGAUACCACAUCUUCCUGGAGCCUUUCAACUUCUUAUGUCGUGAUCCUGGACAGCAGCGGUGCUGCAAUAUCUGGAACUACCAAAGAACAUUAAUGGAAGAAUGAGGGAUUGUUGGGGACAUGACCUCAUAGGAUGGGUCUUGCACAUUUGGGUACAGCAGAGAUGUUUAAAGAUUUGGGAUCUAGAGGUACAAAUUGUCUUUCCAUGGUCAGAGAAAGGUCCUGGAGCUGGAUAGAACCUGACGGUCUGGUCUUCCCUACCAAAUUCUGCUGUGUGUAUGGGAAUGGCUACCCUUUAUGCUAGAGCCUGCCCCAAGGCUGGGUCAGCUCUACUUUAAAAACCAACUUGAAAUGGUGGAUGCUUGACAGACACUAUUAUCCCCACUCCAACGAUGAGAACACUGAGGUCAAGGAUUUGGCUCAAGGUCAUCCCGCAAGGUCUUGUUGGAGGCAGAAAUAGCAUCUGAGCCUUCACUCCUAAUCCAGCUCUCAUUGCUUGUUGCGGUGUGCCAUGGCUGAAGUUACACGAUGAGGCAUCUAUCUAAACCAGAGAGCCAAGUUCUGGGUUCAUGUUACGUCUUUCUAUUCCUUCACUUGGCCUCCCACUGCUGGCUCAGAGCAGUUCCUUGCUCUGAUCUAUUGGUUUUUUCUUAGGCUGGAGAGAGUUACCACACUUCCUGAUCCUGACCUCCAGUGGAGGAGGGUGGAACCUAACGACAUCAUUUGGAUCAUACUUGACUCCAGCGAUUGCUCCAAACUUGAAGAGCAGCGAGUGGAGUCUUCGUCUUUUAACCCUAUCAAGUGACCUGGUCUUUAAUGCGUGAUUGGCAAUAAUGGAGGAGAUUCAGACAACCAUCCCCUGUCACAGCUUCCUGCUGGAGAGGCAGCAAGAAGCUAGGACUUAAACUCUGAGGGCAGAGUAUCCUGGAUUCACACCCCGACUCUGUUGUUUCCUGGUUGUGUGGCCUUCGGCAAGUCCCUGAACAUCGCGGUAGCUCAAUUUCCUGGUUUGUAAGAUGGGUGAAAAGAAUUCCUUAGGAUGAGGUAAUCUGGGCAAAGUUCCUGUCAUGUAAGAGAUAUUCAGGAAAUAUUGGUUUCUUCACUCCUCCCCACCCCACACACGUGUUGAAUACAGUAACUUUAUUUUCACCACCACCUUACAAGAAACAAUGGCACGCCUAGGUAAGCUGAGUGACUCAAGAGCUAGCAAAAACUAAGUCUUUGGAGUUAGCUACGUUGCAUGCCAAGUGUAAAUUUCCCAUUAAUGGGCUUUAAGUAUAUUAAUGGGAGAAUUUUUGUGCUCCUUGGAUGGAAAAAAAAUACAACAUUUUGUGCCUCUGGUAUCUGAGAGGAAGCCCUGAGACAGAUGGGUUCCCAUAAGUUGUGCAUCGUGAAUGCAAGGAAACUUCAUUCUUCUUACACUACCAGGCAGUCGAUCCAAAAUGGGGAAAAACUCUUUACAUGAAAGCAUGCAAUUACAUGCCAUACCCUGCAAUUCUAAUUACUGAUGACUUAAAUUGAAGCACAGCCUUUUACAUAGGAGUUUUAUGAUCAAGAAUUAAGAAAUUUAAAAAUAUUAUGGGGCCGGUUGAUGGCGCAGCAGUUAAGUUUGCACAUUCCACUUUGAUGGCCCCAGGGUUCACCAGUUCAGAUCCCGGGUGGGGACACGGCACUGCUUGGCAAGCCAUGCUGUGGCAGGCGUCCCACAUAUAAAGUAGAGGAAGAUGGACAUGGAUGUUUGCUCAGGGCCAGUCUUCCUCAGCAAAAAGAGGAGGAUUGGCAGCAGGGCUCAUCUUCCUCAAAAAAAAAAAAAUAAAUAAAUAAAAAAUAAGCCCCUAGAUAGACUCUUACCUUUAAAUGUAAUCAGUUUGGAAUGAUGACUUCAAUACUUUGUUUUUGGUGAGGAAGAUUGUCCCUGAGCUAACAUCUUUGCCAGUCUUCCUCUAUUUUGUAUAUGGGAUGCUGCCACAGCAUGGCUCGACGAGUGGUGCUAGGUCCAUGCCCGGGAUCCAGAACCAUGAACCCCGGGCCAGUAGGGCGGAGAGUACAAACUUAACCACUACAUCAUCAGGCUGGACCCCUAGAUACUUUCUUAAAAUUUUGCAUCAGUACAUUCUACUACAAUUCUCCUCUUUUGUUUUUCCUCCCCAAGCAAAAAGCAGGUCUGCCCUACUCACUUUACGGUCUUCUAUAAAUUUAAUUAAAAUCUCCCUGUUUGUAACACACUUAGACUGGCAGUGGGCAAGAGGGACAGGUACAAAGCUUUGUGACAUAAUCUUGUCCUCACAGAGCUUACACUCUGGUCAGUUCUUAGAUGGGUAAUUGCCCAAAUUAACCAGGCCAGAGCAACUGAGGAAAAGUAGGGUGUUCCCUCUCUGUCUCUCUCUUUCUGAAUGAAGAAGCCAAUUAAUGUUCACCCUAAAAUUGAAUCCUGGAUUGUUGUAAAUAACUAGACUUUUCUCCCCAAAUCAGAAAAGAAAUAAAAGUGUCAAUCAUCAUUAUUUUUGAAGUUGUAUAUUAGGUAAAAGUUGCUUAAACUCUAAAUAAUCAUUAAACAUAUAUUUCAAGGAGAAAACAUAAUAGAUUUUCAUUUUUAUAUCUACUGGAAAAGCAGGGCUGCCUUUUUGGGCUAUGACAUUCCAAAUUCUCAUUUAUAUACGGGUAGGCACAAUGCCCUUCUGGUUCUGGAUGUGGAAGGUGACAUUGGAGCCAUCAAGUAUGUUGAUGGAUAUAUUAAACAUCAUCUGGCUAUAUACAAGUAACAGAUAUUCCUUCCAGCCAUACUACUCAUAUAUUAACAAAAUAUUUCCUAAGAGAGAGGAAGAAGAUGUUCCCAAUGUGCUGUCAAUUUGAUAUGAACUUCAAGUUGUAUUUCUUUUAUUUGUUUACUUAUUCACUCAUUUAGUCAUUCACCCAAGAUGUGUGUAAUGCCCAAUGUGCCAAGCCCUAUACCACAUGUUGAGUAUCAGAGACGAAUGUGAUACUGUAGCCGUACUAUAUGAACUAACAGUUUAAACAACAAUUCUUGCCUUGUGGUCCGCAGAUUCCCCCAAUGGGUCUGAAGUUGGGCCUUAGGGCAUCAAAAAAUCCCUUGAAAUUAAAUGG